CCUACGGGAGGCAGCAGUGAGGAAUAUUGGUCAAUGUUCGGGAGACUGAACCAGCCAAGCCGCGUGAGGGAUGAAGGUACAGAGUAUCGUAAACCUCUUUUGUCAGGGAACAAAGGCGGGGACGCGUCCCCGGAUGAGUGUACCUGAAGAAACAGCAUCGGCUAACUCCGUGCCAGCAGCCGCGGUAAUACGGAGGAUGCGAGCGUUAUCCGGAUUUAUUGGGUUAAAAGGGUGCGCAGGCGGUCUGUUAAGUCAUCGGUAAAAGCCCGGGGCUCAACCCCGGCCCGCCGUUGAAACUGGCAGUCUCGAGUUGGAGAGAAGUAUGCGGAAUGAGCGGUGUAGCGGUGAAAUGCAUAGAUAUCGCGCAGAACUCCGAUUGCGAAGGCAGCAUGCCGGCUCCACACUGACGCUGAGGCACGAAAGCGUGGGUAUCGAACAGGAUUAGAUACCCGGGUAGUC
This 459-nucleotide ribosomal RNA is filed under the name uncultured bacterium. RNAcentral's name for it is "partial 16S ribosomal RNA". It matches the Rfam family "Bacterial small subunit ribosomal RNA", at positions 338 to 795 of the family's 1533-position model. The record is from RNAcentral.